RNAcentral lists this ribosomal RNA (254 nucleotides) under uncultured prokaryote. RNAcentral's name for it is "partial 16S ribosomal RNA". It matches the Rfam family "Bacterial small subunit ribosomal RNA", at positions 524 to 776 of the family's 1533-position model. The record is from RNAcentral.
CACGUAGGGUGCGAGCGUUGUCCGGAAUUAUUGGGCGUAAAGAGCUCGUAGGCGGUGUGUCGCGUCGGCCGUGAAAACCUGCAGCUUAACUGUGGGCGUGCGGUCGAUACGGGCAUCACUGGAGUUCGGCAGGGGAGACUGGAAUUCCCGGUGUAGCGGUGAAAUGCGUAGAGAUCGGGAGGAGGGCCGGUGGCGAAGGCGGCGCACUGGACCAUAACUGACGCUGAUGCGCGAAAGCUAGGGGAGCAAACAGG